This is a non-coding RNA of Balaenoptera musculus (blue whale), 73 nucleotides long. Lineage: Eukaryota; Metazoa; Chordata; Mammalia; Artiodactyla; Balaenopteridae. The record is from the annotation of a RefSeq genome assembly.
UCCCUGGUGGGCCAGUGGUUAGGACUCUGCACUGCCAAUGCAGGGGGCGCGGGUUCAAUCCCUGGUCGGGGAA